GAAAAUGAUAUCUUUAUAUAAGCAAGCACACUUUGCAGCUGCAUUCAUUUAUUUUAUUGUAUUGUGUAACCAUUUCUUAAAGCAACAUGAAAUGUUUUCAACAAUGGCUUUUUUAGUGUACCAGUGAAUAUUUAUUUUCUAGCCUACAAUAUUACAAAAAUUUAGUUUACAUAAAGAUGAGCAUAUACUGAUUUGAUGGGGGAAGCUGUUUUCACAUUGUAAACGGUGCCCCUGGGCACCAUACAGUACCUCCAUCAAGUUCUAAUUUAUGUUGAAUUCAUUGAAUUUUAUCAAUUCCAAACACUGGAUUUGCAUGUUUUCCAAAAGACAAAUUCUUAUUAUAGGACUACAAAAAAUAUUUGUGUGAUGUUCUGUUAAGACCGAGCUAUUAGAAUUCUUUUCUUUUUUUUUUUUUUUUUCCUUUUUAUUUACCUGUGUCCAUCAGAAGUUCCAACAGCUUUCCCUGGCAAAGCCCGAUGAAGUUACCUGUAUAUAAGGAAUAGAGCUGUUCCACAAAAGGGACUGCAAUGGUCAUUUUAGUAAUUACAGUGUCUCUGUCAUCUAACUGCUGACUGCAGUCAUAUAAAGUGCUCUUUUAUUUGCCAAAUGGGUAAAGGACAAACUGUGUAUUCCAACUUUGAUUAGCAGAGGCAAAUGAUAACUUUCUGUUAAGUAGAAAUGAAUAGCUGCACCUAUUGUUAGCUUUUGUUUUAACAAUAUUUAUUUAUGAUACAAGACACACAAAAAAUGAUGAGCUUGAUGGUAUCAAUUUAUGAGUAUACCUCAGCUAAUCACCUUGAAAAAAAAAAAGCACAGCAGGCUAUCAGUAAUGGCCAUAGAUUCAGCUCUUGUACUAUGUCCAAAUAUGUCUAGAAAUAGCAAUUAUAAUUUUAAAUGCAAAUGUAAGCAAUACCCCUGCUUUAAGAAAACCCAAUAUUUGGAAAAACUGGAUUUACAGGAAAGAUGAAUUAGUGAUGGUGGAUAAGGGUGUGUGUGUGUGUGUGUGUGUGUGUGUGUGUGUGGUAGGAUUGGGGGGAAUAUUGGGAAUGAUUUAUUUUGACUUUCUUUCAUCGAUCCACCACCCUUAUGCAUUAGGAUUAUUUAGGGAAAUUGAGUAGACAACCUUUAUGCAUAAUGCUGACUCAAUCCCUUCCCUCUUCCGUGAUUAACAAAAUCAGAACCUGACCCUUGAUUUACAUUUACAUGUAGUUCUUGCUUUAUGUGAAUUAUUGUUUUCAAAUAUAGGUCAUGUCAAGAGAACUCCCAAACUGUGCAUCCUUUCUAAACAAACUAUUUCACUCAUAGAAAUUGCAUCGGUCAGUCAUUGCUUUGUGCCAUUUCCAAGAAAGAACGCAGACUGGCAGCAGCUGCUCACAAUGUGACCAAAAGCAAUAUGUUCCUGAGAAAACAUUUCAACAUGCAAGUCUUUUAUAUACUUUGACGCAAACUGUAGCAACUUGGAUGUCCAAUAGAUGUUCUUAAGUUUUUAAAGAUGAUUUAAAAAUUUUCAACUUAAUGUACUGUACUUUUGUAUAAGUUUAUGUGAGAAAUCUUUUUGUAAAUAUGUUAAGAAGCUGAGUCCAAGGGUGAACAACACAUUAAUCCAGAAUAUCAUUUUUCCCUGGGUGCCCUGUGCUAAUCAUUUUGAACUAAAAAGCUGAUUUGAUGGCUUGGAAUCACUUCAGCUACCCAAUCAGUAAGACCAUUUAAUUACCUGAUUAUUUGCA
Molecule: long non-coding RNA, 1727 nt
Organism: Sarcophilus harrisii (Tasmanian devil)
Lineage: Eukaryota; Metazoa; Chordata; Mammalia; Dasyuromorphia; Dasyuridae
Source: Ensembl